RNAcentral lists this ribosomal RNA (471 nucleotides) under uncultured bacterium. Its description in RNAcentral is "bacterial SSU rRNA". It matches the Rfam family "Bacterial small subunit ribosomal RNA", at positions 335 to 798 of the family's 1533-position model. The record is from RNAcentral.
ACUCCUACGGGAGGCAGCAGUGGGGAAUAUUGCACAAUGGGCGCAAGCCUGAUGCAGCCAUGCCGCGUGUGUGAAGAAGGCCUUCGGGUUGUAAAGCACUUUCAGUUGUGAGGAAGGUGGUGUCGUUAAUAGCGGCAUCAUUUGACGUUAGCAACAGAAGAAGCACCGGCUAACUCCGUGCCAGCAGCCGCGGUAAUACGGAGGGUCCAAGCGUUAUCCGGAAUCACUGGGUUUAAAGGGUGCGUAGGCGGAUAACUAAGUCUAAGGUGAAAGUCUGUGGCUUAACUAUAGAAUUGCCUUGGAUACUGGUUAUCUUGAAUUGGGUUGAGGAUGGCGGAAUGUGACAUGUAGCGGUGAAAUGCAUAGAUAUGUCAUAGAACGCCGAUUGCGAAGGCAGCCAUCUGGGCCUUGAUUGACGCUGAGGCACGAAAGCGUGGGGAGCGAACAGGAUUAGAUACCCUGGUAGGAUAG